CAGUCGCCGCGGUAAUACAGAGGGUGCGAGCGUUAAUCGGAAUUACUGGGCGUAAAGCGCGCGUAGGUGGUUUGUUAAGUUGGAUGUGAAAGCCCCCGGCUCAACCUGGGAACUGCAUCCAAAACUGGCAAGCUAGAGUACGGUAGAGGGUGGUGGAAUUUCCUGUGUAGCGGUGAAAUGCGUAGAUAUAGGAAGGAACACCAGUGGCGAAGGCGACCACCUGGACUGAUACUGACACUGAGGUGCGAAAGCGUGGGGAGCAAACAGGAUUAGAUACCCCUGUAGUCCCUGUCUCUUAUAC
This 301-nucleotide ribosomal RNA is filed under the name uncultured bacterium. RNAcentral describes it as "partial 16S ribosomal RNA". It matches the Rfam family "Bacterial small subunit ribosomal RNA", at positions 509 to 807 of the family's 1533-position model. The record is from RNAcentral.